GGGCCCGUGGCCUAGCCAGGAUAGGGCGCCGGCCUUCGGAGCCGGAGGUCCCGGGUUCAAAUCCCGGCGGGCCCGCCA
RNAcentral lists this transfer RNA (78 nucleotides) under Desulfurococcales archaeon ex4484_42. Its description in RNAcentral is "tRNA-Arg". It matches the Rfam family "tRNA". From Rfam's summary of the family: Transfer RNA (tRNA) molecules are approximately 80 nucleotides in length. Their secondary structure includes four short double-helical elements and three loops (D, anti-codon, and T loops). Lineage: Archaea; Thermoproteati; Thermoproteota; Thermoprotei; Desulfurococcales. RNAcentral also lists the same sequence under 2 other names. The record is from RNAcentral.